Molecule: unclassified non-coding RNA, 376 nt
Filed under: soil metagenome
Description: partial contains 5.8S ribosomal RNA, internal transcribed spacer 2, and large subunit ribosomal RNA
Rfam family: 5.8S ribosomal RNA (bases 1-120)
Source: RNAcentral
GAUGAAGAACGCAGCGAAAUGCGAUAAGUAAUGUGAAUUGCAGAAUUCAGUGAAUCAUCGAAUCUUUGAACGCAUCUUGCGCUCCUUGGUAUUCUGAGGAGCAUGCCUGUUUGAGUGUCAUUAAAUUCUCAACUACACUGACUUUGAAUUGGUGUGGCUUGGAUUUGGGGUGAAAAUUGUUGUGGGCUUUUUGUAUAGUCUGCUCCCCUGAAAUUGAUUAGCGGUACCUUUGUGGAACUGUCUACAGGUGUGAUAAUUAUCUACAUCUUAGACAUCUGCUGGAAUGCUGCUUUCUAAACCUUACUUGUAUUGACAAUCUUGACCUCAAAUCAGGUAGGACUACCCGCUGAACUUAAGCAUAUCAAUAAGCGGAGGA